This 485-nucleotide ribosomal RNA is filed under the name uncultured bacterium. Its description in RNAcentral is "partial 16S ribosomal RNA". It matches the Rfam family "Bacterial small subunit ribosomal RNA", at positions 27 to 507 of the family's 1533-position model. The record is from RNAcentral.
GAUUGAACGCUGGCGGCAUGCUUUACACAUGCAAGUCGAACGGCAGCGCGGGCUUCGGCCUGGCGGCGAGUGGCGAACGGGUGAGUAAUGCAUCGGAACGUGCCCAGUAGUGGGGGAUAGCCCGGCGAAGGCCGGAUUAAUACCGCAUACGACCUGAGGGUGAAAGCGGGGGACCGAAAGGCCUCGCGCUAUUGGAGCGGCCGAUGUCGGAUUAGCUAGUUGGUGGGGUAAAGGCUUACCAAGGCGACGAUCCGUAGCUGGUCUGAGAGGACGACCAGCCACACUGGGACUGAGACACGGCCCAGACUCCUACGGGAGGCAGCAGUGGGGAAUUUUGGACAAUGGGGGCAACCCUGAUCCAGCCAUGCCGCGUGCGGGAAGAAGGCCUUCGGGUUGUAAACCGCUUUUGUUCGGGAAGAAAUCCUCUGGGCUAAUACCCCGGGGGGAUGACGGUACCGGAAGAAUAAGCACCGGCUAACUACGUG